RNAcentral lists this ribosomal RNA (1351 nucleotides) under uncultured marine eukaryote. RNAcentral's name for it is "SSU rRNA". It matches the Rfam family "Eukaryotic small subunit ribosomal RNA", at positions 411 to 1774 of the family's 1831-position model. The record is from RNAcentral.
CACUUCUAAGGAAGGCAGCAGGCGCGCAAAUUACCCAAUCCUGACUCAGGGAGGUAGUGACAAGAAAUAACAAUAAACCGGCUUAUGCCGGUUUAAUUGGAAUGAGUACAAUUUAAACAUCUUAACGAGGAACAAUUGGAGGGCAAGUCUGGUGCCAGCAGCCGCGGUAAUUCCAGCUCCAAUAGCGUAUACUAAAGUUGUUGCAGUUAAAAAGCUCGUAGUUGGAUUUCUGUGGGGACGGAGCGGCCGGCCGCAACUCGCGGUUCGAGCUAGCGCUUUCCCUACAUCCUGCCGCGAACCGUGCUACCAUUAGUUUGGUGGCGCCGGGGAUCGGCUCGAUUACUUUGAGAAAAAUAGAGUGUUCAAAGCAGGCCACAUGCCUUGAAUAAGUUAGCAUGGAAUAAUAACUAAGGACUUCGGUUCUAUUUUGUUGGUGUUCGGGACUGAAGUAAUGAUUGAUAGGGACAGUUGGGGCGGUCUGUAUUCCAAAGCGAGAGGUGAAAUUCUUAGACCUUCGGAAGACAAACAGCUGCGAAAGCGUUCCGCAAGGAUGUUCCCUUUGAUCAAGAACGAAAGUUGGGGGAUCGAAGACGAUCAGAUACCGUCGUAGUCUCAACUAUAAACUAUACCAGCUAGGGAUCGGCCAACGUUAUUUCAAACCGACUUGGUCGGCACCUUAUGAGAAAUCAAAGCAUCUGGGUUCCGGGGGGAGUAUGGUCGCAAGGCUGAAACUUAAAGGAAUUGACGGAAGGGCACCACCAGCCGUGGAGCCUGUGGCUUAAUUUGACUCAACACGGGAAAACUUAUCAGGUCCAGACAUAGUAAGGAUUGACAGAUUGAUAGCUCUUUCUUGAUUCUGUGGGUGGUGGUGCAUGGCCGUUCUUAGUUGGUGGAGUGAUUUGUCUGGUUAAUUCCGUUAACGAACGAGACCCCAGCCUGCUAAAUAGCGCGCGUGAGCUUUGCUCGCGGCGAGCUUCUUAGAGGGACUCUGAUGCGCGAUAGCACAUGGAAGUUUGGGGCAAUAACAGGUCUGUGAUGCCCUUAGAUGUUCUGGGCCGCACACGGGCUACACUGGCGCCUGCAUCGAGCAUAUCAGCUGGCCCGAGAGGGUCUUGGCUAAUCUUUUGAACCGGCGCCGUGCUUGGGAUUGACCUUUGCAAUUGUUGGUCAUGCAACGAGGAAUGCCUUGUAAACGCGAGUCAUCAGCUCGCAUUGAAUACGUCCCUGCCCUUUGUACACACCGCCCGUCGCUCCUACCGAUGAAUGUUCCGAUGAAAUUUUCGGAGAGCACCUGUGAACUUGGCUCUGCCUUGCGAACGGGAGGCUCAAAGUCACUUAAAUCUGAACAUUU